GAAAAGUCGUAACAAGGUUUCCGUAGGUGAACCUGCGGAAGGAUCAUUAUUGUAUAACCGAGGUGCGAGGGCUGUCGCUGACCCGAAAGGUCGUGCACGCCCGAGUGCCCUCACACAUCCAUCUCACCCCUAUGUGCACCACCGCGUGGGUCCCCCUUUGGCUUGUUCGGAGGGGGGCUUACGUUUUCACACAAACUUUGUAUGCAGUGUAGAAUGUAUUUUUUGUUUUUGCGAUCACGCAAUCAAUACAACUUUCAACAACGGAUCUCUUGGCUCUC
Molecule: unclassified non-coding RNA, 278 nt
Filed under: plant metagenome
Description: partial contains small subunit ribosomal RNA, internal transcribed spacer 1, and 5.8S ribosomal RNA
Rfam family: Eukaryotic small subunit ribosomal RNA (bases 1-49)
Source: RNAcentral